GAAAUGCGAUACGUAAUGUGAAUUGCAGAUUUCAGUGAAUCAUCGAAUCUUUGAACGCACAUUGCGCCCGCUAGUAUUCUGGCGGGCAUGCCUGUUCGAGCGUCAUUUCAACCAUCAAGCCUCUGUGCUUGUGUUGGAGCCCUGCGGCUGCCGCAGGCUCUCAAAUUCAGUGGCGGGCUCGUCGUCGUACCGAGUGCAGUAAAUUUACCACGCUCAGGGCACGCGACGGGUGACCAGCCGUAAAAACCCCCUAUAUUUUCAGGUUGACCUCGGAUCAGGUAGGAAUACCCGCUGAACUUAA
RNAcentral lists this unclassified non-coding RNA (301 nucleotides) under uncultured fungus. Its description in RNAcentral is "sequence contains ITS1". The stretch from base 1 to 105 matches the Rfam family "5.8S ribosomal RNA", at positions 50 to 154 of the family's 154-position model. Lineage: Eukaryota; Fungi. The record is from RNAcentral.